UCCCAGUGUGAUUCUUAGGCAUCUCAGGGCAGAAAGGUGAGCUCUCUAAGUUAGGUGCUGUUACCCAAAGUGGCCUGUAGUGCCCCUAGGGAUAUGUGCUGUUCCAGGAGCAGAUAUCAGAGAGCGGAGGUGAAUGAGGAGCCUAGGGAUGGAUACCCCAGCAUCCCCCUGGAGGCCACCUCGAGUCAUAAACCAACUAAGAUGAUGGCAGAAGGGAAACUAGCAAGAUACACGAGGCAUUCCUUGGGGGUGAAGAAGGCAUGGUUACCUCGGACCAUUUUUUAAAGCUGGUUCUCUUUGAGCAAAUGUGACUCUGUGCACCUCACCACCACAGCAAGUCUCACAGAUGCCUGUGUUGCUUGAGAGCUCAUGGACGCCGGCCAGCAUUAUUUAAGUUUUCAUUCAAAGUCUCCUUUAGGGUGACUUCUGUGCACCUGAAGUGCCCGUUCAAGAAGAUCAACAAAUGGCUGAAGACAGAUUUUUCAGCCAGAGGAAAGAAUUAUUACCUUACCAUCAGUCUAAUGAAAACAGAGGUGAAAUACCAACCUGCACCAGAUAAACAGCACACCAAGCCAUCCAUCACGCUCAGCCGCACUAAGCAGAGCACCCUAACUGAUUUCACCUGAUUUCCUGCUUCACGCAGACGGCCGUUCACGGCAUCAGAGAGCUGGGA
RNAcentral lists this long non-coding RNA (673 nucleotides) under Vulpes vulpes (red fox). RNAcentral describes it as "lncRNA (ENSVVUG00000012671.1)". The record is from RNAcentral. Lineage: Eukaryota; Metazoa; Chordata; Mammalia; Carnivora; Canidae.